GAUGAAGAACGCAGCGAAAUGCGAUAAGUAAUGUGAAUUGCAGAAUUCAGUGAAUCAUCGAAUCUUUGAACGCACAUUGCGCCCCCUGGUAUUCCGGGGGGCAUGCCUGUCCGAGCGUCAUUACAACCCUCAAGCUCAGCUUGGUGUUGGGCCCCGCCGCCCCGGCGGGCCCUAAAGUCAGUGGCGGUGCCGUCCGGCUCCGAGCGUAGUAAUUCUUCUCGCUCUGGGGGCCCGGUCGUGUGCUCGCCAGCAACCCCCAAUUUUUUUCAGGUUGACCUCGGAUCAGGUAGGGAUACCCGCUGAACUUAAGCAUAUCAAUAAGCGGAGGA
RNAcentral lists this unclassified non-coding RNA (329 nucleotides) under soil metagenome. RNAcentral describes it as "partial contains 5.8S ribosomal RNA, internal transcribed spacer 2, and large subunit ribosomal RNA". The stretch from base 1 to 120 matches the Rfam family "5.8S ribosomal RNA", at positions 35 to 154 of the family's 154-position model. The record is from RNAcentral.